CAGGGUGCAAAGGAAAAGAGCAGGCUUCCUAAACCGUGAACAAUGGCAAUAGCUCCUGGGCGUUUGGGUACAGAAUGGCUGCCAAGUUUUCACGGAUGGAAAGUAAACAUUACAUUUUACUGAGCCACCGAUUCGAGAGGGAGGCAGUCCGCAUCUUCCCAUCUGUUUUGUUGAAGCAUGCAGUGAACAUUCCAUGUACGUAUUUACACACAGCUCCAGUUAAAGGUGGACUGAAGCACACAGAGAGAUCAAAUAUUUGAAACUUCUUCUACAGAUUACUUUCCUGAUUAAGAGACAAAGGGGCACUGAGUCUAUGAAGAGCAGGCUUUUCACAAGCAGACUCUUAGGAAACGUGGAAUCGACUCACAUUUGAUUCGACAGAAUCCAUCAGGCAUCUGCUGCGAGUUGCUGCCUAUCAGGAUCUUCUCUAGUUGCAACCUCCUUUUACACGCCCAAGACCUCAAACCAGGAAAGAAAAGGACUAGGGAGAACAUCACAGUCAGCAGGAGCCUGAUUAUGAAAGGCGGUCAGACAGCUGCCAAGCACACUGGAACCUGCACUUCCCUCGGUAACUAUGAAUCAAAGUCUCCCUCUGCUGACCCAGCCUGCACUGCAUGCCAAGAGUGCUCAUCCGGGCCAGCUUCAGACGUGAAGACAGGAAGCGAGUGGGCUGCCCCGUGCCAUGUUGGUGUCAUAGCAGACCCUCAGGACGUAGUCCAUGUCUUUCUUCUCCUCUAUCCACCUGGCACCCUCGCCCUGGGAUUGUUACAGGAUCAGAUUAAGUUUGGGAGAGAGCCCCAUGAAGAAGACAGCUUUAGCAUGAACUAGAAGAGAGAUUAGAGAGUGGUUAGUGGUUAGUCCAGAGGCUGGGAACAACAAGGAAUAAGAGUUCAGAAAUGCCCAGGGUCAGUUUAAUCAGUUUUGGAGAAACGUAUAUAUAUAUAUCAUAACUGUUGUUAUCCAAAGGCAGCCACAGAUACUCUAUAAAAGACUAAGCCUUAGAUAUGUUUCCAUAAUCCUACUUAUAAAAUCAGGCAAUGGUCCAGGCCACUCCCUUGGGUCAGUUUGCCUAUCCUUGUCCUACCUAUAUUCAUGUGUGAGGAGCACAGCAUGACUUGCUACCAGUCUGGUAGUGCAGAGAGACUGAUCAGAUUAGAAAGCCCUGGUCUUGGGUAGGAACCUCUAAACCUGCUGCAUCCACCCACCCUCAGUCAGAACUUCUUACCCAGGGCCAUGUGAAGUUACCCUUUCAGUUGGUGCGUGUGAGCCUUAACUGAGGCCCAAAGCAUCCCACCUGCCAUGCUUGCCUAAGA
Non-coding RNA from Myodes glareolus (Bank vole), 1313 nucleotides. The record is from RefSeq and is a predicted model, not a curated record. Lineage: Eukaryota; Metazoa; Chordata; Mammalia; Rodentia; Cricetidae.